GGUCCUUUAGCACAUACUGGUCUGUGCACCAUGCUCAUAACGUGGAGGAUUUUGGUUCGAUUCCAAAAAGGACCA
RNAcentral lists this transfer RNA (75 nucleotides) under Acinetobacter phage AM24. It matches the Rfam family "tRNA". Rfam says of the family: Transfer RNA (tRNA) molecules are approximately 80 nucleotides in length. Lineage: Duplodnaviria; Heunggongvirae; Uroviricota; Caudoviricetes. The record is from Rfam by way of RNAcentral.